RNAcentral lists this ribosomal RNA (345 nucleotides) under Acetobacter sp. Its description in RNAcentral is "bacterial SSU rRNA". It matches the Rfam family "Bacterial small subunit ribosomal RNA", at positions 1 to 346 of the family's 1533-position model. The record is from RNAcentral. Lineage: Bacteria; Pseudomonadati; Pseudomonadota; Alphaproteobacteria; Acetobacterales; Acetobacteraceae.
UUCAUGGAGAGUUUGAUCCUGGCUCAGGACGAACGCUGGCGGCGUGCUUAACACAUGCAAGUCGAACGGAAAGGCCCUGCUUGCAGGGUGCUCGAGUGGCGAACGGGUGAGUAACACGUGGGUGAUCUGCCCCUGACUUUGGGAUAAGCCUGGGAAACUGGGUCUAAUACCGGAUAUGACCAAGGAUUGCAUGGUUCUUGGUGGAAAGCUUUUGCGGUUGGGGAUGGGCCCGCGGCCUAUCAGCUUGUUGGUGGGGUAAUGGCCUACCAAGGCGACGACGGGUAGCCGACCUGAGAGGGUGAUCGGCCACACUGGGACUGAGACACGGCCCAGACUCCUACGGGA